RNAcentral lists this unclassified non-coding RNA (403 nucleotides) under soil metagenome. RNAcentral describes it as "partial contains 5.8S ribosomal RNA, internal transcribed spacer 2, and large subunit ribosomal RNA". The stretch from base 1 to 121 matches the Rfam family "5.8S ribosomal RNA", at positions 35 to 154 of the family's 154-position model. The record is from RNAcentral.
GAUGAAGAACGUAGCGAAAUGCGAUAAGUAAUGUGAAUUGCAGAAUUCAGUGAAUCAUCGAAUCUUUGAACGCACCUUGCACCCUUUGGCCAUUCCGAAGGGUAUGCCUGUUUGAGUAUCAUGAACACCUCAACUCUCAUGGCUUGCCAUGAUGAGCUUGGACUUUGGGGGUCUUGCUGGCCUGCAGUCAGCUCCUCUCAAAUGAAUUAGCUUCCCAGUGUUUGGCGGCAUCACAGGUGUGAUAACUAUCUACGCUUGUGGUUCCCACCAGGUAACCUUCAGUAGAAUGGGGGUUCGCUGGAGCUCAUAAAUGUCUCUCCUCAGCGAGGACAGCUCUUUGAACAUUUGAUCUCAAAUCAGGUAGGACUACCCGCUGAACUUAAGCAUAUCAAUAAGCGGAGGA